Molecule: ribosomal RNA, 434 nt
Filed under: uncultured bacterium
Lineage: Bacteria
Description: partial 16S ribosomal RNA
Rfam family: Bacterial small subunit ribosomal RNA
Source: RNAcentral
AGCGAACGCUGGCGGCAGGCCUAACACAUGCAAGUCGAACGAACCUUUCGGGGUUAGUGGCGGACGGGUGAGUAACACGUGGGAACGUGCCUUUAGGUUCGGAAUAACUCAGGGAAACUUGUGCUAAUACCGAAUGUGUCCUUCGGGGGAAAGAUUAAUCGCCUUUAGAGCGGCCCGCGUCUGAUUAGCUAGUUGGUUGAGGUAAUGGCUCACCAAGGCGACGAUCAGUAGCUGGUCUGAGAGGAUGAUCAGCCACAUUGGGACUGAGACACGGCCCAAACUCCUACGGGAGGCAGCAGUGGGGAAUCUUGCGCGAUGGGCGAAAGCCUGACGCAGCCAUGCCGCGUGAAUGAUGAAGGUCUUAGGAUUGUAAAAUUCUUUCACCGGGGACGAUAAUGACGGUACCCGGAGAAGAAGCCCCGGCUAACUUCGUG